RNAcentral lists this ribosomal RNA (666 nucleotides) under uncultured marine archaeon. Its description in RNAcentral is "bacterial SSU rRNA". It matches the Rfam family "Archaeal small subunit ribosomal RNA", at positions 21 to 692 of the family's 1478-position model. The record is from RNAcentral.
GAGCUACCGCUAUUGGAGUUCGAUUAAGCCAUGCGAGUCGAGAGUCCUCGGGACUCGGCGUACCGCUCAGUAACACGUGGGUAACCUGCCCUAUGCUGGGGAAUAACCUCGGGAAACUGAGAAUAAUGCCCCAUAGCCCACUACGCCUGGAACGGUGAGUGGGUCAAAGCCCCGGCGGCAUAGGAUGGGCCUGCGCCGUAUCAGGUUGUAGGGGGUGUAAAGUACCCUCUAGCCAUCAACGCGUACGGGUGUUGGGAGACAUUGCCCGGAGAUGGAUUCUGAGACACGAAUCCAGACCCUACGGGGUGCAGCAGGCGCGAAAACUUGGCAAUGCGAGAAAUCGUGACCAGGGAACUCCAAGUGCGUAGGGUAAGACCUACGCUUUUCUUGACUCUUCAAAGGUCUUGGAAUAAGGGGUGGGUAAGGACGGUGCCAGCCGCCGCGGUAAUACCGGCGCCUCAAGUGGUAGUCGCUUUUAUUGGGCCUAAAACGUCCGUAGCCGGUCUGGUGCAUUCGUGGGUAAAUCAACCCGCUCAACGGGUUGAAUUCUGCGAGCACGGCCAGACUUGGGACCGGGAGAGGUGUGGGGUACUCUCAGGGUAGGGGUAAAAUCCUGUCAUCCUGAGAGGACCACCUGUUGCGAAGGCGCCACACUAGAACGGAUCC